GACCGAUAGUGAACCAGUACCGUGAGGGAAAGGCGAAAAGAACCCCGGCGAGGGGAGUGAAAAAGAACCUGAAACCGUGUACGUACAAGCAGUGGGAGCCUCUUUAUGGGGUGACUGCGUACCUUUUGUAUAAUGGGUCAGCGACUUAUAUUCUGUAGCAAGGUUAACCGAAUAGGGGAGCCGAAGGGAAACCGAGUCUUAACUGGGCGUUAAGUUGCAGGGUAUAGACCCGAAACCCGGUGAUCUAGCCAUGGGCAGGUUGAAGGUUGGGUAACACUAACUGGAGGACCGAACCGACUAAUGUUGAAAAAUUAGCGGAUGACUUGUGGCUGGGGGUGAAAGGCCAAUCAAACCGGGAGAUAGCUGGUUCUCCCCGAAAGCUAUUUAGGUAGCGCCUCGUGAAUUCAUCUCCGGGGGUAGAGCACUGUUUCGGCAAGGGGGUCAUCCCGACUUACCAACCCGAUGCAAACUGCGAAUACCGGAGAAUGUUAUCACGGGAGACACACGGCGGGUGCUAACGUCCGUCGUGAAGAGGGAAACAACCCAGACCGCCAGCUAAGGUCCCAAAGUCAUGGUUAAGUGGGAAACGAUGUGGGAAGGCCCAGACAGCCAGGAUGUUGGCUUAGAAGCAGCCAUCAUUUAAAGAAAGCGUAAUAGCUCACUGGUCGAGUCGGCCUGCGCGGAAGAUGUAACGGGGCUAAACCAUGCACCGAAGCUGCGGCAGCGACGCUUAUGCGUUGUUGGGUAGGGGAGCGUUCUGUAAGCCUGCGAAGGUGUGCUGUGAGGUAUGCUGGAGGUAUCAGAAGUGCGAAUGCUGACAUAAGUAACGAUAAAGCGGGUGAAAAGCCCGCUCGCCGGAAGACCAAGGGUUCCUGUCCAACGUUAAUCGGGGCAGGGUGAGUCGACCCCUAAGGCGAGGCCGAAAGGCGUAGUCGAUGGGAAACAGGUUAAUAUUCCUGUACUUGGUGUUACUGCGAAGGGGGGACGGAGAAGGCUAUGUUGGCCGGGCGACGGUUGUCCCGGUUUAAGCGUGUAGGCUGAUUUUCCAGGCAAAUCCGGAAAAUCAAGGCUGAGGCGUGAUGACGAGGCACUACGGUGCUGAAGCAACAAAUGCCCUGCUUCCAGGAAAAGCCUCUAAGCAUCAGGUAACAUCAAAUCGUACCCCAAACCGACACAGGUGGUCAGGUAGAGAAUACCAAGGCGCUUGAGAGAACUCGGGUGAAGGAACUAGGCAAAAUGGUGCCGUAACUUCGGGAGAAGGCACGCUGAUAUGUAGGUGAAGCGACUUGCUCGUGGAGCUGAAAUCAGUCGAAGAUACCAGCUGGCUGCAACUGUUUAUUAAAAACACAGCACUGUGCAAACACGAAAGUGGACGUAUACGGUGUGACGCCUGCCCGGUGCCGGAAGGUUAAUUGAUGGGGUUAGCGGUAACGCGAAGCUCUUGAUCGAAGCCCCGGUAAACGGCGGCCGUAACUAUAACGGUCCUAAGGUAGCGAAAUUCCUUGUCGGGUAAGUUCCGACCUGCACGAAUGGCGUAAUGAUGGCCAGGCUGUCUCCACCCGAGACUCAGUGAAAUUGAACUCGCUGUGAAGAUGCAGUGUACCCGCGGCAAGACGGAAAGACCCCGUGAACCUUUACUAUAGCUUGACACUGAACAUUGAGCCUUGAUGUGUAGGAUAGGUGGGAGGCUUUGAAGUGUGGACGCCAGUCUGCAUGGAGCCGGCCUUGAAAUACCACCCUUUAAUGUUUGAUGUUCUAACGUUGGCCCCUGAUCGGGGUUGCGGACAGUGUCUGGUGGGUAGUUUGACUGGGGCGGUCUCCUCCUAAAGAGUAACGGAGGAGCACGAAGGUUGGCUAAUCCUGGUCGGACAUCAGGAGGUUAGUGCAAUGGCAUAAGCCAGCUUGACUGCGAGCGUGACGGCGCGAGCAGGUGCGAAAGCAGGUCAUAGUGAUCCGGUGGUUCUGAA
This 1967-nucleotide ribosomal RNA is filed under the name human gut metagenome. Its description in RNAcentral is "bacterial LSU rRNA". It matches the Rfam family "Bacterial large subunit ribosomal RNA", at positions 482 to 2433 of the family's 2925-position model. The record is from RNAcentral.